Molecule: ribosomal RNA, 444 nt
Filed under: uncultured bacterium
Lineage: Bacteria
Description: bacterial SSU rRNA
Rfam family: Bacterial small subunit ribosomal RNA
Source: RNAcentral
AGAGUUUGAUCCUGGCUCAGAUUGAACGCUGGCGGCAUGCCUUACACAUGCAAGUCGAACGGUAACAGGUCUUCGGAUGCUGACGAGUGGCGAACGGGUGAGUAAUACAUCGGAACGUGCCCGAGAGUGGGGGAUAACGGAGCGAAAGCUUUGCUAAUACCGCAUACGAUCUACGGAUGAAAGCAGGGGACCGCAAGGCCUUGCGCUCAUGGAGCGGCCGAUGGCAGAUUAGGUAGUUGGUGGGAUAAAAGCUUACCAAGCCGACGAUCUGUAGCUGGUCUGAGAGGACGACCAGCCACACUGGGACUGAGACACGGCCCAGACUCCUACGGGAGGCAGCAGUGGGGAAUUUUGGACAAUGGGCGCAAGCCUGAUCCAGCCAUGCCGCGUGCAGGAUGAAGGCCUUCGGGUUGUAAACUGCUUUUGUACGGAACGAAAAGACUC